Molecule: non-coding RNA, 94 nt
Organism: Panthera pardus (leopard)
Lineage: Eukaryota; Metazoa; Chordata; Mammalia; Carnivora; Felidae
Source: Ensembl
GACUGGACCCAAGAAUACUUGUCUACUCCACCCUUGAGGAUCACUGUUGGGGCAGCCUUGACCUGGCAGCCCUGUUUUCCUCCUUCAGACAUCU